Molecule: ribosomal RNA, 385 nt
Filed under: uncultured bacterium
Lineage: Bacteria
Description: bacterial SSU rRNA
Rfam family: Bacterial small subunit ribosomal RNA
Source: RNAcentral
AAUGGGGGCAACCCUGAUGCAGCGACGCCGCGUGAGCGAUGAAGCCCUUCGGGGUGUAAAGCUCUUUCGGCAGGAACGAUAAUGACGGUACCUGCAGAAGAAGCUGCGGCUAACUACGUGCCAGCAGCCGCGGUAAUACGUAGGCAGCAAGCGUUGUUCGGAGUUACUGGGCGUAAAGAGUGCGUAGGCGGUCCUCUAAGUUCGGUGUGAAAUCUCCCGGCUCAACUGGGAGGGUGCGCCGGAAACUGGAGGGCUCGAGUAUGGGAGAGGAAAGCGGAAUUCCUGGUGUAGCGGUGAAAUGCGUAGAUAUCAGGAGGAACACCUGUGGUGUAGACGGCUUUCUGGACCAUGACUGACGCUGAGGCACGAAAGCGUGGGUAGCAAA